GAUGAACGCUGGCGGCGUGCCUAACACAUGCAAGUCGAACGAAGCACCUUACCUGAUUCUUCGGAUGGAAGUCUGGUGACUGAGUGGCGGACGGGUGAGUAACGCGUGGGUAACCUGCCCUGUACAGGGGGAUAACAGCUGGAAACGGCUGCUAAUACCGCAUAAGCGCACGAGGAGACAUCUUCUUGUGUGAAAAACUCCGGUGGUACAGGAUGGGCCCGCGUCUGAUUAGCUGGUUGGCAGGGUAACGGCCUACCAAGGCAACGAUCAGUAGCCGGUCUGAGAGGAUGAACGGCCACAUUGGAACUGAGACACGGUCCAAACUCCUACGGGAGGCAGCAGUGGGGAAUAUUGCACAAUGGGGGAAAUCCUGAUGCAGCAACGCCGCGUGAGUGAAGAAGUAUUUCGGUAUGUAAAGCUCUAUCAGCAGGGAAGAUAAUGACGGUACCUGACUAAGAAGCUCCGGCUAAAUACGUGCCAGCCGCCGCAGUAA
RNAcentral lists this ribosomal RNA (493 nucleotides) under uncultured bacterium. Its description in RNAcentral is "partial 16S ribosomal RNA". It matches the Rfam family "Bacterial small subunit ribosomal RNA", at positions 28 to 523 of the family's 1533-position model. The record is from RNAcentral.